AGGGAACCAACGUGAACACCGAAAAAGGUAUUUCGUAACCAGUUCAAACAACAACAAAUCCGCAAAAUCAAAUCCCACGAAAUCUGGGAUGAAAAAGUAAACCUGAUAAAUUAUUUUAAGACUUAAUAAACUCAUCAUGAAAAAAGAACAUAUAUACCCAGAGAAGAAGAUAUUGAAGACAGCGUGAACUUCGGCAAGAAAUCCAGAUAACCCUAACAUUCACACAACCAUCAAAAACGAAAAAAGAGAGAAAGAACAGAAGAAGGCGGAGAGAGAUUUAGAGGAAAAGAAAAACUUAUCUGAGCCGUGACGAAGAAGUUCGCGUCGCCGGCGACAAAAUCGGACCAAGAAGCAUUUCUUCUCCCUCCUUUGCCUGAAAUCCUUACUCUAUUUCCUUCGUCGUUAUAAGUGAAGCAAAAACCCCCUGUUAUUUUCCUUAAAUCGCGACUGCAAAGCCUCAAAUUUGAAAUUAGGGUUUAUGUUUAAACUGUUUGGGUUGCUGUUUUUUUUUUUUUUUGGAUUUGUUGUUUGAAAGGAGUUAGGGUUUCGUUUGGUCGCGUUGAGUUGUUGUUGGAUCGGAGUUUGAGUUUGCGGAUUUUGUGUUGAGUCUCGAUCUGGUUAUUUGAGAGGGAUUUCAAACAGAAGCAAAGAAAAGAGAAGAAGAAGGUAACAAAGGCAUUGGAUUUGAUAACGUUCACCUUUAACAAUCGCAAGUUGAAGAAUAACGAUUGAAUGACUCAAUUCUUCUUCGCUC
Molecule: long non-coding RNA, 754 nt
Filed under: Lathyrus oleraceus (garden pea)
Lineage: Eukaryota; Viridiplantae; Streptophyta; Magnoliopsida; Fabales; Fabaceae
Description: Pisum sativum (pea) long non-coding RNA (PSAT_LNC026601)
Source: RNAcentral